RNAcentral lists this ribosomal RNA (252 nucleotides) under uncultured bacterium. Its description in RNAcentral is "partial 16S ribosomal RNA". It matches the Rfam family "Bacterial small subunit ribosomal RNA", at positions 524 to 776 of the family's 1533-position model. The record is from RNAcentral.
UACGGAGGAUGCGAGCGUUAUCCGGAUUUAUUGGGUUUAAAGGGUGCGUAGGCGGGCUUUUAAGUCAGCGGUAAAAAUUCGGGGCUCAACCCCGUCCGGCCGUUGAAACUGGGGGCCUUGAGUGGGCGAGAAGAAGGCGGAAUGCGUGGUGUAGCGGUGAAAUGCAUAGAUAUCACGCAGAACCCCGAAUGCGAAGGCAGCCUUCCGGCGCCCUACUGACGCUGAGGCACGAAAGUGCGGGGAUCGAACAGG